Mustela erminea (ermine) is the source of this 204-nucleotide long non-coding RNA. RefSeq lists it as uncharacterized. The record is from RefSeq and is a predicted model, not a curated record. Lineage: Eukaryota; Metazoa; Chordata; Mammalia; Carnivora; Mustelidae. The transcript is spliced from 3 exons.
ACCCCAGGCUUGCAUGCUUUCGGUCUGUGUUGUUGUGGGACCCGGUCACGUGGAGCCUGGUUGGGACCGGAGGCCGGGGAAAGCUUUCUCUGGCCUUGGGUGGUGAGUGAUGCGUUGGCCGUGUGUGGUGUGUCUUCCAGCUCUCUGCCUUGCCCUGGUGUGUGCGGGCCCCGGGAGGAAGCAGCCGUGUGGUGUUUGGGGUCA